This 8103-nucleotide long non-coding RNA is filed under the name Triticum aestivum (bread wheat). Its description in RNAcentral is "long non-coding RNA (TAES_LNC004441)". The record is from RNAcentral. Lineage: Eukaryota; Viridiplantae; Streptophyta; Magnoliopsida; Poales; Poaceae.
AGGGAACCAAUAAUAUUUAAACUCCCAUGGUGAAUUUCCCUACAAAAGUCUGCAGCAGGAACGCACAUGACAAAGAAAAGAAAAAGGAAAGUAGAUCCUUGUGUUUAUCUUCUGCAAUACAUGACUAUUUUCAACAUAACCAUGUAACUAUAUUAUGCUGCACAAACAAAAUCAUUAAUAAAUUACUCUCUUAAUCUUUUCUUAGGUGCCACACUACAAACAGAAGGCCCAAGAAAAUGUCACAUUGCAUAGAAUAAAUGAUUCAUGGUGGGUAAAGCAAACCGACUUACUUUCCACACAAACCUGAAUCACAACUAUCCUAACUUCAUCGGCUGUAUCAGGGCUAUUUUGGGAAGGGGACUUUUGCUUUGAAUCUAACCCAAUCACCAGCCUGCAAGCACAAAUAGAAGAUGAGGAUCCAGUUGAUUUGCCCUACAAAUAUUAAGACAAAGAAUAGCUCUAACGCGAAACAACAAAAACUAAAAGUAGCUAAAAAGGGGAAAGUAGGAGACUUCAUACCUUAAAACCAUUGAUCUUCUCCAUGUCUGAUGGAUCUUCCUGCCAAGGUGCAGAUCUAUUAGGAAUAUCAAUUAUGAGCAGACCAUCGUUGUCGAUAUCGAUUAUUUUCCCUAUUAUGUGUUGAGUUUCUAAAAAUGAGUGCUUUUUGCUAACAAGUAAAAGGAUCUAUGAUGGUAUCCACUAUACAGAGAACAUUUCUCUUUGUCAAAUGACUUCAAUGAAUUACUUUUGCUUGAGAAAUAGCUUUUAUAAAGCCAAAUAUCAAACAUCUAGCACAGUAGGACACGAUGUGAUUUUUUCGAAGAUGAAUUAUCAUACCAACAAAAUGCAUACAGUAAGACAAACAACACAAAUAGUUGAUACUCUUCACCUAUAAAAAAUUAGCAACAUUCAAAGGCAAUCAAUAAGAAUCCAAACUAAAUACUUGCAUCAAUCAAAUACUUGCACAAAUAUACAGAAGAAAAUGAACCUAUAACUUCAUGGUUCUAUAUGGACAAAAAGAUCCACAGCAAGACCUAAACAUCACCAAGGAUAAGAAAUAACAGAGCAUUUUUCUUCGCCUGAUGCAGGGUCAUGGCUAGUGAAGGUCAGCAGCUCCUUCCCACCUGCUACGGCCGCUACAACCUUGGGCAAAAAUGUGGUCAGAGACGGCACAAGGGAAGCUGCUCCCAUCUCUACAUCCUUCCUCCUCUCAGCCAGCCAUGACUCUCCACCACCAGUCGCAGGAGAGUUGGCCAGUUGGGGCAGAAAAUCUUGGCAUAAAGCUCUUGACCAUCCUCUUCCCUGUCGUUCCUCUACCUCCCUCCUCUUCUCAACUAGCCAUGGCUCUGGGCAAGUUUCCUCGAGCUGCAAGCCAUGGUGGAGCACUCCAUCGGCUGCAUUAGCUAAGCCUCCAGAUCUGGCCGCCAACAUCAUCGCUCCCACCUCCUACCCUACGAACCACCAUCAUAUCAUUCCACCCCGAGAGAGAGAGAGAUGUACCUCAGUACCUGUAAAUCUAACCUCGCUGAUUAGACCGGAACUAGAACAACGAACAGAGAGGGCAGGCUCUAGUCGGCCUCCAACUGGCCGAUGCGCAAUGAAGUUGAGCCAGGGAUGGAGGCAACGAAGGUCGGACCGCUGAUGUUCGUGCUUCUGCCACCUCUACGAGCUCAUGGCUCUAGCCGAUGCUGCCGAGGAUGCUUAUCCUUCGCACGUCCCUGCCUCCUGCGAGAGAGUCGUCGAGGGGACGAUGGAGGCGACGAGCGGGGAGAGGGAAGGCGGCGGAGUCAGAGAGGAGUGGAGGGAGAGGGAUGAGAGGAGGCUGAGGGGGCGCAGGCUCUAGACGAGAAGGGUUGGCGGCUAGGGUUUGACGCUUUACUGAGGAGGAAGAGAAAUCGAGGAGGGAGGGACGGGUGUGACAUGCGGGCGAGGGACUUUCGAGGCCACGACUUGCCCUAUGCUUCCGCAAACCACGCGACGCGCAGGAGUGGACGCACUCGCACCUUGAAAGGGCUGACCCAGCCAUGACAGACGCUCCAAGAGCCAUCGGACAUUGGGCCAUGCAAAACUACCACGCGGUCAAACACAAAGCACUGUAACUACCAACGAACAUCCAACGACACACACGAAGUUAAUGAUCAGACUGAUCAAGAUCGAAGGGCAGAAAACGCAUGACACCUGGGGAGCGAGUUGCCCAGCCACAAAUGAAUACUAGUAGUGCGCCUGCGAAUGUACUCCCUCCGUUCCAAAAUAGAUGACCUCAUCUAUUUUGAAACGGAGGGAUUACAUCUUUAAAAAAACCACGGGUUUCUACUCCCUCCUUCCCAUAUUAUAAGAGCAAUUACAAUCUCAAAAAAUAUUUAAAAAAUAAAUCGAGAACAGGACAGCACCUCUUUGCACGUCCCACCUGACGUCCCUCUCCUCCUCCACUCCCUCUCGCCCCCAUUCCGCUUUGGACGGUCCAAAAAUUUCUCUCCGGCCACCUUCUCUCUCCUCCCACCGACUCCUUCGGCAAUGCCGCCGCGGCGCGCGCGCGCGCGGCCGCCGGCGCUGCUAGAUCCUUGCACGAUCCACGCCGCAGCCGGGAGCCCUUGAACCUGCGCAGCGAGACGACCAAUGCACGAGCGCGCCCGGCCAGGGCGCGGGAGACGACCGUGCGCGUGCCGCGUGUCACCGAUGCCGCCCCCCGGCGAAGACCCCGACGCGGCGCCCUCGUGCAGCAGCUCCGACACUAGCGAGCCGCAGGACCAGCAGCGCUCGGAGCGGGCGCUCUCCAACGGAGAUCUCUACCUGGGCCAGUGGCGCGGGGGCGUGCCACACGGCGACGGCAAGUACCUGUGGGCGGAUGGCUGCAUGUACGAGGGCGAGUGGCGCCGCGGCAAGGCCACCGGACGCGGGAGGUUCUCUUGGCCGUCGGGAGCCACCUACGAGGGCGAGUUCUUGGACGGGUUCAUGCACGGCGCGGGAACCUACGUGGGCGCCGCGGGGGACAGCUACCGCGGCGCGUGGGCCAAGAACCUCGAGCACGGCGCCGGCGAGAAGCGAUACGCCAACGGCGACUGCUACGACGGCGAGUGGCGGGCGGGGCUUCCGGACGGGUGUGGCCGCUACACCUGGCGCGAUGGCACCGAGUACGCCGGCGGCUGGCGUGCGGGGCUCAUCCACGGCCGCGGCGCCCUGGUCUGGGCGAACGGCAACCGCUACGAUGGCGGCUGGGAGGGCGGCCGCCCGCGCGGACAGGGCACGUUCCGGUGGUCGGACGGCAGCCUGUACGUCGGGUUCUGGGGCCGGGAGGCCCCCGGCGGCGCCCUGCACCAGAAGGGCGUGUACUACCCAUCCCCGGGGGCGGCAGGCGAGACGAGGACGCGCGACCCGAGGGAGGUGUUCACGAGGGAGCUGCCGGAGUGUGUGCGCUCUGGUACGGAAAGCCAGUCGGCGCUACCGUCACUGAGGUCUCUAAAAUGGCUGGCGCGGUCGGUCAGGGGGCGCGUGAGCUCGUCGUCGGGCCGGAGCAAUCUUUCGGGUGGGAGUAAUUGGGGUUCCGAUGGAGACGUCAAGUGCGAGCUUGCUGACGACUGGAAGCGUCGUAACAGUACGAGGGAGGGUAGGGGGCUCCUGCCGCUCCCUUCGCCGGCGCCAGCGCCACAAGUAGCCAAGGGUGCACCGCUGCGGGUGUCGAAGCGGCAGGGGGAGACCAUUGCCAAGGGGCACAAGAACUACGAGCUCAUGCUCAACCUGCAGUUGGGCAUCAGGUGCAUUUCUUUCCCCUGAUUAGUACACCUUGAAUUCUUGAUCUUCCUGUCAAUUUCAGAAACUGGUGGAGGUGGUUUUUUUUUGAGAGAGAGAUUUGAAAUUUCAAUUAGACAUGAUUGUCAGAGGAUCUGCAUUGAGAUUGCUCGUUUAACUAUUUAUCAUGUUGUUGCUAAACAUGAACACCAACAAUGUUCCAUUCUAUUGGAGAGAACUGAAGCACAUACAUGCACAUUAUAAUGUUCUUAGCAAGUAAUGUAAGCCUAUUUUUUUCUUUGGCAUACAUACAUUGGAGACGGAGUAUAUUAGUACCAAUCUUCAAGAACAAGUGGGAUGUUCAGAGUUGUACUAAUUACCGUGGAAUUAAGCUGAUGAGCCAUACAAUGAAGCUAUGGGAGAGAGUCAUUGAGCACCGCUUAAGAAAAAUGACAAGCGUGACCAAAAAUCAGUUUGGUUUCAUGCCUGGGAGGUCGACCAUGGAAGCCAUUUUCUUGGUACAACAACUUAUGGAGAGAUAUAGGGAGCAAAAGAAGGACUUGCAUAUGGUGUUCAUUGACUUGGAGAAGGCCUAUGAUAAGAUACCGCGGAAUGUCAUGUGGUGGGCCUUGGAGAAACACAAAGUCCCAGCAAAGUACAUUACCCUCAUCAAGGACAUGUACGAUAAUGUUGUGACAAGUGUUCGAACAAGUUGAUGUCGACACUGAUGACUUCCCGAUUAAGAUAGGACUGCAUCAGGGGUCAGCUUUGAGCCCUUAUCUUUUUGCAUUGGUGAUGGAUGAGGUCACAAGGGAUAUACAAGGAGAUAUCCCAUGGUGUAUGCUCUUUGCGGAUGAUGUGGUGCUAGUUGACGAUAGUCGGACGGGGAUAAAUAGGAAGUUAGAGUUAUGGAGACAAACCUUGGAAUCGAAAGGGUUUAGGCUUAGUAGGACUAAAACCGAGUACAUGAUGUGCGGUUUCAGUACUACUAGGUGUGAGGAGGAGGAGGUUAGCCUUGAUGGCCAGGUGGUACCUCAGAAGGACACCUUUCGGUAUUUGGGGUCAAUGCUGCAGGAGGAUGGGGGUAUUGAUGAAGAUGUGAACCAUCGAAUCAAAGCCGGAUGGAUGAAGUGGCGCCAAGCUUCUGGCAUUCUCUGUGACAAGAGAGUGCCACAAAAGCUAAAAGGCAAGUUCUACAGGACGGCGGUUCGACCCGCAAUGUUGUAUGGCGCUGAGUGUUUGCCGACUAAAAGGCGACAUGUUCAACAGUUAGGUGUGGCGGAGAUGCGUAUGUUGAGAUGGAUGUGUGGCCACACGAGGAAGGAUCGAGUCCGGAAUGAUGAUAUACGAGAUAGAGUUGGGGUAGCACCAAUUGAAGAGAAGUUUGUCCAACAUCGUCUGAGAUGGUUUGGGCAUAUUCAGCGCAGGCCUCCAGAAGCUCCAGUGCAUAGCGGACGGCUAAAGCGUGCGGAGAAUGUCAAGAGAGGGCGGGGUAGACCGAAUUUGACAUGGGAGGAGUCCGUUAAGAGAGACCUGAAGGAUUGGAGUAUCACCAAAGAGCUAGCUAUGGACAGGGGUGCGUGGAAGCUUGCUAUCCAUGUGCCAGAGCCAUGAGUUGGUUGCGAGAUCUUAUGGGUUUCACCUCUAGCCUACCCCAACUUGUUUGGAACUAAAGGCUUUGUUGUUGUUGUUGUUUGUUGUUGUUGAUACAUACAUUGGAAGCACAACAUAUCGAACAGAUAUCAAUAACAAAAAUUCAUAAACAAAAUUACAUUUCAUAAACCCAAGAAGGCUUGCACUUUUUGAAGAUAUAAAACUUAAUUUUGUUUAGUUCUUCAACGAAACAAGAUGCUUAUAAGGAUUACCAAUGAACUAUUACAAACUUGGUGUCCACAAAAAAAUGGACCAUGCACAUUUGAAAAUGUCUCCUUUUAACUGGCGAGUAUUGAAUAGAUCAGAAAAUGGUACUUGUUGUUACCCCAGGGGCUGUUAGGUCACACGCAGUAGCAUGUAUAUUUUCGUACAUUACCCAAUUUACUUUUAGAAAUCAGGAUUUAUUUUUUAUUUUCAAGUCUUGUAUAUGUAAGUUUUGUGGUAGGGGGGGGGGGGGUUCUACUACAAAACUUACAUAUACAUGAUAAAUUCGAAGUUCUUUUUCUGGAGAGAGAAUUUAUUUUCAUACGAUUGAUGAAUGUCUUUGUGAACUUAUACGUUACAAUUUCUUAAUAUCUGAAUAUGCUAUCUUGGGCAUAGGCAUGCAGUAGGAAGGCAAGGUCAGGUUAUACUAGAUCUGAAAUCAUCAGCAUUUGACCCAAAGGAAAAAGUAUGGACAAAAUUCCCCCCAGAAGGCUCGAAAUAUACCCCUCCACACAAUUCUAGUGAUUUCAAAUGGAAAGAUUACUGCCCAAAGGUGUUCCGGUUGGUCAUCACUCCCAAGAUAAAGAUUUUCCUAUCUUAUGACCAUAUUAUGGUAUUGUACUCAUCAACAUAUGCACACAUAUUUGUUCUGAACUAAUUCACAGGACAUUGCGCAAGCUGUUCAAGGUCGAUCCAGCUGACUAUAUGCUAUCUCUGUGUGGAGAUGAUGCUCUACGUGAGCUCUCAUCCCCUGGUAAGAGUGGAAGCUUCUUUUACUUGACAAACGACGAUCGAUACAUGAUAAAGACAAUGAAGAAAUCUGAAGUAAAGGUUUGUCCUCCUUUUCUGUCUUCGCCUGAAUGUUAAAUUUUGUUCUGAACUUAUGGAUUAUUUGCUACCUUACAGAUGCUUCUGAAGAUGCUUCAUGCUUAUUACAAUCAUGUCCGUGCAUUUGAGAAUACCCUAGUGGCAAAGUUUUUUGGUCUACACUGUGUGAAGUUGGCUGGAGCAAACCAGAAGAAGGUUAGAAAGUAUAUACUUGUUUCUUUUUUGCGCAAACACACACAAAAUGUGCACCAUUUGUAUUAGAAGAAAGAGUGAAAUGCCAAAAUAGCACGUAUAUAAGGGUUUUCAUUCUGUCCUCACGCUGUAAUUACUCCAAUUUAUGAAUCUGCUGUUGUCAAGUACUAGUAUAAUAUCAAUCCUGACGGUCUGCUUGAUGCUGUACUACCACCCAGGUUCGUUUUGUCAUAAUGGGGAACCUGUUCUGCUCCGAUCACACUAUUCAUAGGCGGUUUGAUCUGAAAGGAUCAUCUCUUGGCCGGACAACUGACAAGCCACAGGCAGAGAUUGAUGAGUAUACAACUCUGAAAGAUCUUGAUCUUAAUUUUAUCUUUCGGUUGCAAAAACAAUGGUUUGAAGAGUUCCGAAGGUGCGAACAUCUUAUGUCUAAUUUUCGUAUUGUGUUUUGUGAAUGACCUAGGCACCAAAUGCUAACCAAUGAUAUCUGAACCCUAUGUACUAAUCUAGUUCUUACAUACUUUGAAGCAGGCAAGUGGACAAAGACUGUGAGUUUCUGGAGCAGGAGAAGAUUAUGGAUUACAGUCUCUUGGUGGGCGUACAUUUUAGAGGUAAGAGAGAGAUACUUAAGGCACUUUGUAAAAAUACAAAAUGCUGACUUGAUUUUUACUUUGGUUAAAGGUGCCAUUGACAUCGAUGGUGACAAACCUGCCACACCCCGCGUUUCAAGAUGGGACAGGAAUCACUUUCUUUCUGAUCCAAACAGGUAAAUAAGACACUAAAUUAUGUUCUCUUGCCUAAUACUACAGUCCUAGUUAUAAUUAAUUUGCCUCUUUCUAAAUCAUGUAGCUGGUAAGUACGUAGUUCUUGAGCCAGCUCAUCAUUGAGAUGAUUCAUGUUUCAGCUUCAUUGCAGUACAAAUUUUGACAUGGAAAGGUUUUAGGUACCCAUCUAUUUUAAACGACAAAAUUGACAUUAAUUUCUAUAGCCAGGAUGUUCAUUCUUCUGACUAGAAAGUAUUUUAGGUUCAUUUAGUAAUAUUUCCUAUUGUGUCAUUUCUUGGUAAUGAUAUUUCUAAGGUUAAUGCGUAUACGACAUAUAGUUUCUGGUGGUGUAAAUUCUCCAGUGUGUCAAUCCAGUCAUAUGGUCCCCAUUGUUACCUAGUAUUAAACAUUUUCUGUUUAGAACCUUCCUAUCUUGUACAUGUUUUCAUAUUCACCAGAUUUACCGUGGAUUCACAUGCUUAGUUCACACUUUUGAGUACUAAUGGUACUAAACAUUUUGUCAAAUCUAAUGAAAGAUCAGUUUAGGCUAUCACCUUAUGGUAGGAGCUAGGGCCCUACUGGGUCUUGGCCGGAGAUUGUAGGGGAAGGAGGGAGGUGGGCGAGGACGUGACCGCGGCGGCCGGCGUGCUGGCGCCAUCUCGCGCGGGAGGAGAGGCGGCGGCGAUGGGAGAGGAGGCGGCUAGGUUAGGGUUCCGGCUCUCCUCAAGGAGCCGGG